This 7646-nucleotide long non-coding RNA is filed under the name Sorghum bicolor (sorghum). RNAcentral's name for it is "long non-coding RNA (SBIC_LNC002033)". Lineage: Eukaryota; Viridiplantae; Streptophyta; Magnoliopsida; Poales; Poaceae. The record is from RNAcentral.
GCAUCUAUAGGACAGAUUGAAUCGACCCAAGUGAACAGGAAAAGGGAACUGACAACUAGUUGUUGCUGUAAUUCAAUCAUCACUCAUUACAUAUAUAAUGGAUUUCUGAUGCGCUAGUACAACCUGUAGUAUACGCAAAGCAGGGUAGACCCUGUGAACCGAAGUCAUGGUCUCAGUCGUCGCUAGUUUCUCUGAUCUAGUACUCUACAUGCUGCUAUGAAUGUUUUAGCAAGCAGAGGGAGAGUCAGGCCUUGUUUAGUUUGCAAAAAUUUUCAAGAUUCCCCAUCACAUCGAAUCUUUAGUCGCAUACAUAGAACAUUAAAUAAAGAUAAAAAUAAAAACUAAUUACACAGUUUAUCUGAAAUCUAUGAGAUGAAUCUUUUGAGUUUAGUUACUCCGUGAUUGAACAAUGUUUGUCAAAUAAAAACGAAAGUGCUACAGUAGCAAAAAAAAAAAACCAAAAUUUUGCCGACUAAACAAGGACUCAGUCAUCGUCUCCUCUUGAGGCUUGUGUAUGGUACAGCACGGCCUUCCUCCAAGUCCAAGUCCAUGUGCGCCACUGCCUGUUUUUCCACUGUCUCCCUAGAUCACGGUGAUGGUUAGAGCAUCUCCAACCAUUAUGCAUUUGAAUUUAUACAUUUUAGGCAAAUUGCGAAUUCCCAAAUGAAAAUGACAAGGCUAAAAUCGGAUGAUCUCCAACCGUUAUGUAAAAUGCCAAGUCCAUCAUCUUUUUUUUCCCGGAAAUUUUGUUUCGCGGCACUCCUUCCCGCGCGGCCUCGAUCCCGCGCCAAACAGCCCGCCGUCGUCUCCCGUUCACCAAUUCCCGCGCCAAACAGCCGCGCAGUACCGACCGUGAGUUGCGCAGUUCGUCGUUCCCGUUCGCAGUACCGAUCUCCCGUUCCGUUAGUUCCCGUUCACCGUACCGUCUGUUGGCCAUCAGUUCGUCGUCGUACAGGUUCGCCCCUUGGCUCCAGUACCGAUCUCCAUCAGGUCGCCGCCAUCAGUCAAGCUGGCGAAGGAGGACGCACGAUGCUUCUCCUAUCGCGUGAAGUGGUGGCGGCGCGAAGGGAAACCGCGCGAAGGGAAGAAAAAAGCUCGCGAGGUGGAACCGAGAAUCCCUUAAUCUCUAUUUGCAUAGCCGGACUCCUUUGGCAUAUAUGCCAAAUUUCCCCCUCCAAAUGCAUAGCUAUGUAAAAUGCAAAGUCCAAAUGCAUAACGAUUGGAGGGGUUUUUUUGGAGUUUUAUGCAUUUUGGUAAAUGCCAAGUCCAUUUGCAUAAUGGUUGGAGUUGCUUUUAUGUUUGCAACUGGAGACUAGUGCAAGCGAAUCUGCUGGGCUACCAAACUAGCAGUCCACUGGUUCAGUUCAGUUCCUGUCAAUUCUUCGGAACAAACCUUCUACUCCCUCCAUUCUAAUUGGAAAUCAUUCCAAGAAUCACGUAGAGUCAAAGCAUUCUCACGUUUGACCAAAAUUAUAGAGAAAAAUAAUAAGAUUUGUAAUGUAAAGUGAGUAUACUAUAAAAAUAUAAUUGAGCAAGAAUCUAAUGAUAUUUAGUUAGUAUCAUAACAAUAAUUAUUUUAUCAUAUAAAUUUGGUCAAACUUAGAAAAGUUUGACUCUGCAAGAUUCUUGGAAUGACUUACAAUUUUGGAUAGAGGGAGUACGUUACUUCGUAGUAGCACGUUCAAACCUUCAGAUGGACGGGAUCAAAUAAGUUCUUUCCAUCGAGCUUAAACCGAUGAAGAUUCGCAAUUACCGAAAUUGGUUGGCUCAUCAUACUCUGCAGUUCUUCAAGAGAAACGAAUGAGUCCGUUAACAUUCCAACUUCAUUAUUCAUGGAUGCCAGAUUCCGGAAAGAAGAGGAUGAGGAAACCAUGCAUAGAAACACGCUUCCAGAAUGCAGAGUUGUGAGAAAACUAAGCGUAAAACACAUUUCCACACUAAUAAAUUGGGUGGAGUUCUCCUAGUGUCUUUAAUUAGUAAUAAAAUACUACCAGUAGUCAUAACACUAGAGAAUACUCAAUAAGAUAAGACACAUUAAGAGAGAAAGUUUGUACUAAAUUUUGAAUGCUAAAACACUAGGAGAAGACCACAUUACUGAGAAAUUGAAAAUUUUGGUUGUGCCAUAACACUGUCAUAGGAAAAAAAAACACAACCAUAGAAUCAACGGUCCAGUCCUAGUCAACAUGGGAGGCAAUGCACCUGGCCAUCUGCGCGUUUCCACUUUACAGCACAGACACACAGCAGGCAGUACAUGUAAGAAUAGCGAUUCAGCAGAGUGCAUGAUGGCAUGGGACCUGAUGAUCCGAGGGAGGCAAUGCAUCUGGCCAUCUGCGUGUUUCCAUAUGUACUGCUAGUAUUGUUUGCUGAUUUAUUGUGAGAGAAAAAUACUACUGACUGGUACAAAAAAUACGGCUUAUAAGACAACCGACCGGAGCCUCAUUAUCAGUCAGAGCAACCAAUAAGCUCUACGCCGCCGCUGCUGCUGGCAAUGAACCGAAAGCCACCACCGGCCAUGGUGCUCCUCAGAAUCAGGCGCUUGCUCCAGCUGCUCCUACUGACCUCCGCUGCAGCAACAACCAGUGCAACGAUCUAUUCGCCAGGCCAUGGCCAUGGCCAUGACCAUGACGAUGAGAGAGCUCUUCUGUCACUCAAGGCCAAGAUCUCCCGCCACUCUGGCGUCCUGGAUUCGUGGAACCAGAGCAGCAGCUACUGCAGCUGGGAGGGCGUCACUUGCGGCAAGAGACACGCGUGGCGGGUGGUCGCUCUGGACCUCAGCUCCCAGGGGCUCGCCGGCACCAUCUCCCCCGCCAUCGGCAACCUCACCUUCCUGCGCUUACUCAACCUGAGCUACAACAGCCUUCAUGGCGAGAUACCUGCUAGCGUUGGCUCCCUCAGGCGCCUUCGACGUCUUCACCUGAGCGGGAACAUGAUCACUGGUGUCAUCCCGAGUAACAUCAGCCGCUGCAUCAGCCUCCGUGGGAUUAUCAUCCAAGACAACAAAGGCCUGCAGGGAAGCAUCCCAGUUGAGAUUGGCAGCAUGCCAGCGCUCUCAGUUCUUGCGCUGGACAACAACAGCAUUACCGGAACCAUCCCGUCGUCUCUUGGGAAUCUUUCACGGCUGGCCGUGCUGUCCUUGCCAAGGAACUUCCUCGAGGGACCAAUCCCUGCAACCAUCGGCAACAAUCCAUAUCUCACCUGGCUUCAGCUCUCUGCUAAUGACCUCUCUGGCUUGCUCCCUCCUUCCCUAUACAACCUAUCAUUUCUUCAGGACUUUUUUGUGGCUAGCAACAAGCUGCAUGGCCAUCUACCAACUGACCUGGGGAAAAGCCUUCCGAGCAUCCAACAGUUUGGGAUUGGAGAAAACCGAUUUACUGGCACACUUCCACUGUCACUGACCAAUCUCUCAAAGCUCCAGACUCUUUAUGCCGGAUUCAAUAGUUUUACUGGAAUUGUUCCCACCGGAUUGAGCAGAUUGCAAAAUCUUGAAUCACUUCUUCUGGAUGACAAUAUGUUAGAGGCAAAUAACGAGGAGGAGUGGGCAUUUAUUGAUUCUUUGGCGAAUUGUAGCGGGUUACAGACACUGUCCAUUGGAAGGAACAGGCUUGCGGGGAAGCUGCCAGGUUCUGUGGCAAAUUUGUCCACUAAUCUCCAGUGGCUACAGAUUCCCUACAACAACAUAUCGGGUGUCAUCCCAUCAGAUAUUGGAAAUUUGGCAAGUCUUCAAAUGCUUGAUUUUCGCAUAAACUUGCUCACUGGGGUCAUUCCUGAAAGCAUAGGGAAGCUUACAUUACUGCAGAAGCUAGGCCUGAUUUCAAACUCCCUCUCAGGACGUCUGCCAUCCUCUAUCGGAAACCUUUCUAGUCUACUUGAAUUUGAUGCAAACGGCAAUAGCUUCUACGGGCCAAUUCCACCAAGCAUUGGAAACUUGAGCAAACUUUUAGGCCUAGAUCUGUCAUAUAACAAGCUUACUGGACUGAUUCCUAGAGAAAUUAUGGAGCUGCCAUCGAUCUCAAUUGAUCUUGAUCUGUCCAACAGCAUGUUGGAGGGAGCACUUCCAUUAGAAGUUGGUAGCUUGGUAUAUCUUGAACAGCUCUUCCUAUCAGGAAACAAUUUGUCAGGUGAGAUACCUGAUACUAUUGGCAAUUGCAGGGUCAUGGAAAUCCUCUCAAUGGAUGGCAAUUCACUCCAAGGAAGCAUACCUGCUACAUUCAAGAACAUGGUAGGCUUGACUGUACUUAAUUUGACGGACAACAGGCUGAAUGGAAGCAUCCCUAGCAACCUGGCUACCCUUACCAACCUACAGGGUUUGUAUCUUGGCCACAAUAAAUUAUCUGGAACAAUCCCAGAGAUUUUAGGUAAUUCAACAUCGCUGCUUCACCUAGAUCUGUCUUACAAUAAUUUGCAAGGUGAAAUACCAAAAGGAGGAGUUUUCAAAAAUUUGACUGGACUAUCAAUUGUUGGUAACAAUGAGUUAUGCGGGGGAAUACCACCGCUCCAUCUGCCAAAAUGCCCAAGCUCUUGCACAAGAAAGAAUAGAAAAGGCAUACCCAAGUUUCUUAGAAUAGCAAUCCCAACAAUAGGAAGUCUCAUCUUACUUUUUCUGGUUUGGGCUGGAUUUCACCACAGAAAGUCCAAGACAGCACCGAAGAAAGAUUUACCAACAGAAUUUCCAGAGAUAGAGCUUCCAAUAGUUCCAUACAACGAUAUACUGAAAGGAACAGACAGAUUUUCUGAAGCAAACGUGCUUGGAAAGGGAAGAUAUGGUACAGUAUAUAAGGGCACCCUAGAAAAUCAAGCCAUUGUUGUAGCUGUUAAGGUAUUCAAUCUCCAGCUAUCAGGGUCAUAUAAAAGUUUCCAGGCGGAAUGUGAGGCACUAAGGAGAGUAAAGCACCGAUGCCUUGUAAAAAUCAUCACAUGUUGUUCAAGCAUCGACCACCAAGGUCAGGACUUUAGAGCACUAGUCUUUGAGUUGAUGCCUAAUGGAAGCUUAGAUAGAUUGAUCCAUUCAAAUUUAGAAGGCCAAAAUGGCCAAGGAGCACUCAGCUUGUCACAGUGGCUGGAUAUAGCUGUGGACAUUGUGGAUGCUUUGGACUAUCUUCAUAACGGUUGCCAGCCAUCGAUCAUCCAUUGCGAUCUAAAGCCAAGUAACAUUCUUCUCAAUCAGGACAUGAGGGCUCGUGUUGGGGAUUUUGGAAUUGCUAGAGUUCUAGAUGAAGCAACAAGCAAACAUCCUGUGAAUUCUGGGAGCACAUUAGGAAUAAGAGGUUCCAUCGGUUACAUUGCGCCAGGUAGCUCUAAUUUGUUGUUCUGUUUCCCAUGUGCUUCACAUGAUAGCAUCCAAUUAAUUAUCCCUAGGCCCAUCAAAUAUUGUACAUACCUACAUGUGUUCAUGUUUUAAUCCAAUGCAGAAUAUGGAGAAGGUCUUGCAGUAUCGACUUGCGGUGACAUGUUUAGUCUUGGUAUCACCUUGCUAGAGAUAUUCACAGCAAAAAGGCCAACAGAUGAUAUGUUCAGAGAUGGUUUAAGCCUACAUGGUUAUGCUGAGGCGGCUCUUCCUGACAAAGUUAUGGAGAUAGCAGAUUCCAACCUAUGGCUGCAUGAUGAAGCAAGCAAUAGCAAUGAUACAAGGCAUAUAACAAGAAGCAGGAAAUGUUUGUCCGCCAUCAUUCAGCUUGGUGUCCUUUGCUCAAAGCAAUUGCCCUCAGAGCGUUUGUCAAUAAGCGAUGCUACUGCAGAGAUGCAUGCUAUCAGAGAUAAGUAUAUUAGUGCUCAGUGAUGUCAGAUUGGCUACCAUGUUUGUCUAAUUUUAUUGUCAAAGUCCAUAUGUAAUAUAUUUGCUUCUUUUUUGCUUGUGAGUUUGUAGACCUUAUAUUAGUUGGUAUUGUUAUGGUGCUGUGUUGCCAAUACCAUAGGCAGCAUCAUUCAUGAAUCAUGAAAGAAAUUUUGAUUAUCCUGAGAAAAAUCCACAUUUCCGACUAGUUCCCACCUCAAAGUUGAACCCCACCGUUAUAAACACAAGAAUGUGCACAAUAUGCAGUAAUUUGCAAAGUUGAAAAAGAAUAUCAUUGUGACAUGCAUUAUGAAACACAUGUGGUGACAUGCUAUUACAGUAAGGCAAUGUGUGGCGACCCACUCCCCUCACAACGCCUAGGCGCAUAAGGUGCGAGGUGAAGCGAUGCCAUGGACAUAUAAUGAACAUGCUAUUACAGUGUUGGAAAAGUGAUCCCGGGCUAGUGGAGAUGGGCCAAUGCCCAGAACCAUUGAGCCCAAGUCAGGGGGGGGGGGGGGGGGGCACGUAGCUCCUCUGUGCGCCAUGAUCGGGGGCGGCCCCUAACAACCUAAGGUUGUGGCCCCAAGCUGAGACUGAGAGGCACUACAUGUAGUGGGAAGACAGUUACCUGUGUGAGUCAACGCAUGCACAAAAGUGCCCUCCCCGGAUCAAGAAGAGGCUGUGCUACGAGGUGGCACUGGUGGAUCAGAGGUGAGGUGGUACGUCUGCAAUCUCGAUCUACUUCGCUGAUGGUGGACUAUCCAGCUCUAGAUUAUGGUUAGUCACCAAUUCACAUUAGAUUAAAUUGUGUCCAAGUGAUUAGAUCAGAGAUCCUGUGGUUCACUCCCCAAUUUAUCCAAUAUUGUGGCAUCCGAGCCAACUGAUCUAGUUGCUGGACCACUGAUGCGUCGAUUUCACCUCGGAUUAAGUUAAUUUUGAGGUGAAAUUACCUGUUUAGUGCCCUAAUUGCUCUCGGUUGUGCUUAAUUAGCCAUGCUGACGAUGUUCCAGGCCCUAUUUAAUCAUGCUCUAAGACAAUUAAGUGUCUGGUUAUGCCUAAACCUAAUUAUGCAUGUUUAGGGCCCAGGUUUAGUUAAUCAUAAUGAUUAGUCACGGGUUAAUGAUGUUGUGCCCAAUUUGAUGCCUACUUGCUAACAGAUUUUAGUCCUAAUAAUUGUGUAUGAAAUCGUGGCAAAAUUCACGUGCGGGGCUAAGGUUCGGAUCAGCAUGUAGACGUGGGGGAGUCAUGUAAAUCUCAAAAAAAACUCUCCAAAUUACCGAACCCUAGAUCAUGAUUUUCGGGAUGAUUACCUCGGUUUGGUGUCGCUGUCGGCUGUCGCUGCUAGGUGUCCGCUCGUGCAGCCUUGCCGGACGCGCCAUCAGGCGUGCGCAGGCGAUCUCGCACGCAUGAGCUGGCAGCCUGGCAGAGUGCCACCGAUGCCACGCGCGCAUCAGGGAGGCACCGCAACUGCGCCGACCGCGGACCACGCCGCGCAUCAGGGUGCCGCUCUCGCGCGGCCGCCGCACAUAAGGGCGGCGACGGAGCCGCCGCGCGCCGUGCUGCACAGGCCAUCACGCGGCUUCCGCUUCGCCACCGUGCUGCACAGACCUCCCGAGCGCAGUCUUCACCGGCACCGGCGACGAGCCGCUCGUCAGAGCCGCACCGCACGCGCGCUCCGGCGAGUGGGCCGUCGCCAGAUUCCCAGCAGCUGACCCUGCUUGCGUGAAAACCAUCGGAUGGUCGUUAUAGUUGCGGGCCAUAAGUGGGCUGGCAAGCUUGACGAGCGGGUAACCGUCAUCGCGGCCCAUUAAGCUAGUGCGGGUGCACGUUAAGCCAGUGUGGUAUGCUUUUAUUGUUUUUUAGCCAUGCGUUUGGC